UAUCAGCAGUUGAACACAACAGAGGGAGUGGACAUGAUUCAGGUCUCCAGGAAUGUGUCAGGGAUGGCCUGUACUGAUUUGCUUCAAACAGAAUCAGAGAGCACAACAGGGAAAGACCCAUGCAACCCGUGAAGGAGAUGCUCCCCAAUAAUGCCAGAAUAAGGGGAUCUGCAUGGAGCAAGGCAUGGACUUUAGCCAUCAUACAUGAUGCCUGCAGCUCCAGCAGCCAUCCUGUGACCAUGAGGCAAUCUGAGUAUAGAAGCCAGCACUAGGGAUAACAGAGAAGAAAGAAUGAAGGAGGAGCCUGGAUAUCCUGAAG
Non-coding RNA from Kogia breviceps (pygmy sperm whale), 319 nucleotides. NCBI's taxonomy places the organism in Eukaryota, Metazoa, Chordata, Mammalia, Artiodactyla, Physeteridae. The record is from RefSeq and is a predicted model, not a curated record.